This 2760-nucleotide long non-coding RNA is filed under the name Solanum tuberosum (potato). Its description in RNAcentral is "long non-coding RNA (STUB_LNC007651)". Lineage: Eukaryota; Viridiplantae; Streptophyta; Magnoliopsida; Solanales; Solanaceae. The record is from RNAcentral.
CUCCAUUUGCAUAUGCAUUUUUGUUGAUGAUCGAAGAAUUUUGUUGUGUAUUUUCAACUUGAUUUCGUAAUUUAUCAACUGAUUUAGUAAAAGGUUAGUUCUUUAUCCCUUAUUUCGAGUUUUUGCUUUAUUCCUUAGGGUUUUUGUUGAUUCGUGAAAUUAAGAGCAACAUUGAGUCUGAUUCAUCAAUACAAAGCUUAUUCAAGUUUUCAUUUGCCAUUUUUGAUGAAUUUCGAGAAAAUUCAAAAUUCAUAUUAGAGACCUAAAUAAGAAAUUAGAGCAGAUUACAAACCCUAAGUUCAAGAUUUGAAGUAGAAAUGAACAUAAACAACUAAACCCUACUUAUUUUUGAGAGAAAAUCGUGAUUUUUUUUUAUAAAAGGAACAAGGGUUAAUGGUGGGGAAGAGGAAAUAGUGGUUUAUUUAAUGGUGGGGAAGAUGAUCGUUGGAGAAAGAGAAAAUUUUCGUCAAAAUUUAAGGUGUUCUCACCUUCUAACGCGCUUAGAUGAGGUGUUCUCAUCUCAUAUGACAGGUCAGCGUUUAAGUGUGUAGAAAAUAGAGAAAUAUGAAGUUCAGGGGUAAUAGGACACCCGUGAAGUUGGAGUGUGUAGUUGGGAUUUCAAGUAUAGAUUGGGAGGGUUUUAGACCAUUUUCUCUUGUUUUGACUUUAAAACUCUUUCAUUGGUAUCAGAACAGUUAUUUUUUAAAUUUUAGCCUAUUUAAAUAUUAGACUAAUAUGCAAUUCAAAUUGAUUGAGGAUAAACUUUGUCGUCUAAAUAUUUUUUAGAAGACAUUUAAUUUUUUUUUGAUAUGUGUUAUAAAAUCAAGCUUAGAAUAAUAUAAUAUAAAGUGAACAAGACAAGUUAAGUAGAGAAAGGAAAAUAGUUUUCUUCUAUUCGAGUGUGUCAUCCAAAUGUUGAAUGAUAUCUCUAUCUAUAAUGUUGAGAUAUCACUCCCAAAGGUAACCAAACUAGUAGAUACAUAGUUAUCCAAAAAGGUUUUUUAUCACCUUGGAAGUAUACAUACAUGAAUUCAAUUAAUUCUUGAAUAAAUCAAAUGAAAAUCCACAAUUCAAUGUAUUCAUAAAAUAUGUUAUAUAGUCACAAUAACAAUAAUUAUUAGGUUGUGACACCCUAUCUUAAAAUACGAAGUCUCAUAUAGACAAAACAGAUGAGAGAUGUUGAGUAUAUAAAUAAGCAGACUUUACCUAUUAUUGAUGCAUUUUAAAGUCGUGUAGGCUUAGGCCCAAAGCGGAUAAUAUCAAUAGAGAGUUGAAAUGGUAUAAAUGGUAUCAGAGCUACUCUUAUAUCAAUGCCGCUCUUGUGUCAGCAAAACUAGUAGAGAUGUUGGAAAUAUAAGUAAGCAUGUCUUAUAUCUACUAGAACGCAUUUGAAAGUUGUGCAGGCCUAGUGCCAGAACGGACAAUAUCACUACUGACUUGGAUAGUUACAUAAGUACUUAAGCAAAUUAAAAAAACAGACAAAAAAAUUAUAUUUGGCUUGCGUUUGGACAUACGAUAUGAAGUCAUUAUUUUAAAUCAGUGUUUAGACAUAUGAUUUGAGAUCAUGAUUUCAAAUCAUAUUCCAAACUUUCCAAACAACAUAAUUUGAGAUUCUAAAUCGUGAUUUCAAAUAUAUAUAACUUGACCCAUAAAUUUAUAUUUUGUAAAAAAAAUACCCAGUAUUUUAAAUUUUGUAAAAAAGCUCUGAAGGAUAUUGUUUAUACCACGUGAAAUAAUUAUUUUAAAGAACAACUAGUUACUACAAUUGUUGACUAAUAGAAUCUCUGUUGGUUAUGAAGGAUAUUGUUUGUUUCUCCUUUUUGUUGUCUCAGAUUGUUUUGUCUUUAUAUUUCUGUUUGUUUGUGUUAUUUUAGUUUUAGGCCAUUAGGUGGAUUUGGUCUGUUUGGAAUUUGUACGUUAUCCGGGUGGUUCUUGUACUUAUUUGCUUUGUUCAUUAACAAAAUCGCCUUUCGGCUUAUUUAUCUUUUUUUAAAAAAGAUUAAUGAAUUUUCAUAAAAUUAUGUAUAUUUAAAAUUUUGUGAUCACAAAUUUAUUUAUAUAGAGAUAUGUGAAUUAUCAAUGCGGCACAUUAGGAUAUUAAUAUUUAAUAUUCUAUUUAUGAACUAUGGUAAGCUCAUUUGCUAGAAUAAAAUUUAAGAAAAUUUUGAUAGUUCUCAUAAGUUAUGAAGUUUUUAUGUUUAUGAUAAAAAAUACAACUUAGUCUUUUUUGUUCUUCCAUUCUUACUGAAUGGCCUUUUAAGACAAGUUAAGAAGGUAGAAGAGACCAAAAUGAAACAGAAAAUGAACUUUUUUUUAUCAACACAAUAUAUUCUAUGUUGUACACAAUAUUAAGCAUAUAUACCUUUCAGUUUUCACUAUAAAUAUCAGCAGUACUGGUCCUAAGUCUUCUACUGCCUAAACAACAAAAAAAUUGAGAAAAAGAAAAAGAUGAUGUAUUCCUGUAAUUUUGUUUUUUAAUCUAAGGUGAAAAAAUAAAUAAACUUCGCGUUUAAAUUCAUUUGAAAAACUAAUGAAUUCAUCACAUCAUCGGCCUUCUUCAACUGUGAUUGUCAACUCAAUUUUGGUGAAGCUAGGUGGUGUACCAGAUGAAACAGAAGUUGAAUUAGACACAUUUCUCCUUGACACAAAAGCAGGUUGAUUAGGCUUUGGAAGAGACGUACUAUCACUACGAAGCAUCAUUACAACAUUUGACAUGGAAGGACGAUCACCUGGAUCUUCUUGCACACAUAAGAGCCCAAC